This 301-nucleotide ribosomal RNA is filed under the name uncultured bacterium. RNAcentral describes it as "partial 16S ribosomal RNA". It matches the Rfam family "Bacterial small subunit ribosomal RNA", at positions 509 to 808 of the family's 1533-position model. The record is from RNAcentral.
CAGCAGCCGCGGUAAUACGUAGGUCCCGAGCGUUGUCCGGAUUUAUUGGGCGUAAAGCGAGCGCAGGCGGUUAGAUAAGUCUGAAGUUAAAGGCUGUGGCUUAACCAUAGUACGCUUUGGAAACUGUUUAACUUGAGUGCAAGAGGGGAGAGUGGAAUUCCAUGUGUAGCGGUGAAAUGCGUAGAUAUAUGGAGGAACACCGGUGGCGAAAGCGGCUCUCUGGCUUGUAACUGAUGCUGAGGCUCGAAAGCGUGGGGAGCAAACAGGAUUAGAUACCCCAGUAGUCCCUGUCUCUUAUACA